Molecule: long non-coding RNA, 1198 nt
Organism: Phragmites australis (common reed)
Lineage: Eukaryota; Viridiplantae; Streptophyta; Magnoliopsida; Poales; Poaceae
Exons: 4
Source: RefSeq, a predicted model, not a curated record
AAAAUCCGAGAAAACUGCCCACGUCACUCCGAGCGAGGUUUUCGUGGGCCGCUGGCAGGAGAUUUUCGUGGGGAUCUUCAAGGCGGCAGCCCACCCGUGCGUGAAUCCCCCUCCCGUCCACCGCGAAUCACUCAAUCAGCAAGCUGAGCGCGACGAGUUGGGUGAGGUUGGACAACGCGCCGGAGAGGCUCCCGUCGAAGCCGUUGAAGGAGAGGUCGAGCACCUGUAGGCUCCGCAGCCGCACGAGCCCCGGCGGCAGUGCGCCGGAGAAGGCAUUGCGCUGGAGGUGGAGCCCCGUGAGCGCGACGAGGUCAAAGAGAUCGUCGGGGAAGGGGCCCGAGAGGUUGUUGGUGCGGGGGAUGAGCACCUGCAGCGCGGCGAGUCGUCCGAGCGUGCGCGGCGGCACGGAGCCCGAGGCCCGGGAGGCGCAGCGCGACGACGCGGGAGCUGUCGGCGCUGCAGGUGACCUCCGUCCAGCUACCGCAGGAGCGCGGGGUGCCGCAGCGGCCCACCCCCGCCAGGAAGUCGAGCAGCGCGGCCUUGUCCACGUCCGGCUCGGAGGACGCGAGCGAGAGGAAUCAAAGCAGGAGGGCCGCCACGCAGAGUGGCAGCCGGGGCGGCGUGGCGGCGCUGGGGCUCACGUGAAACUCGGAGGGACGCAUCCAUGGGAGCUCCGACGUCUCCGUGCUCACGCCCAAUGGCGAGUCCCAAGCCGAGACCUCCCGCCAAAUGCUCCUCUUCGACUCCUUCGAUGCCUGCUUCACCAGCCCACUCUCCCGCUCCUGCCGCACCGCCGAGAUGAUCUGGGAAGGACGCGAUGAGAACCUCAUCCCGGACUCCGAUCUCCAGGAGAUCGAUCUCUACUCUUUCCAGUUUGUUGGUUCCUUGAUGGAUGCUUGGAAGAUGCUUGUGGAAAUGCCUUAGUGUAACGAGCAAGAUUUGUGGAAGGUGCUCGUGAUAUAGUCUUUGUUUUAUCAUAAUCAGGUAUAUGCGCUGCUUUUAGUAUAGAGACAAAUCAGAGAAUAUGCCUUCUGAAUGGGAGUCCUUAUGAGUUAUCCGUAGUUUAUUUUACAACAAGAAUAAUGAAUCACUCAUUAUCGUGCCAGUAUAUGGUUCUGAAAAUUUCAGUGAUCUACGAUGCAGGAUAACUCAAGUAGAGUACAUUCGACGAGAACAACUAGAUGCUGGUUUCCCUGUU